Long non-coding RNA from Nerophis ophidion (straightnose pipefish), 483 nucleotides. RefSeq lists it as uncharacterized. The transcript is spliced from 4 exons. The record is from RefSeq and is a predicted model, not a curated record. NCBI's taxonomy places the organism in Eukaryota, Metazoa, Chordata, Actinopteri, Syngnathiformes, Syngnathidae.
CAAAACAUGAUCAAAUCGUCAGUAGUAAGCCUGACAUUCUUCUCUUUCCAUAGCAGCACACGUCUGACUUCUGGCAACGUGUGUGUUCCUACUUCCGGAAUCAAACACGCGUGUGUGUACUAAUCAUGGCAGACUUGAUAAACAUACUGCGGAUGAACUGAACUGCUGCUUAUAGAAGCGAGCACGAAGGAAGAGUGACACGUUGGAGCAGACAGAAGCCAAUGGAGAGAGGAAACGUCCCAGGGCCAGCUGGCCCAAACAGACUACUGUCCAUCGAAUUGUCACGGUCCGGGCGAGCGUCAGUGCGCAUUCAUCUUUGCGCUGCGCCGAGCACAGCUCCGAGAGCGCGCAAAGCGCGUCCAAGUCCGGCGACAGCGAACAGCUGCAAUCAAUCGCCGUCAAUCUGCACACCUGGAGCUGAUGAUCAGACCAUCCUUGAAAAGCCUGCACAACCUGCCAUCCCUCGCCGGAACAUAACCUUCU